This 272-nucleotide ribosomal RNA is filed under the name uncultured bacterium. Its description in RNAcentral is "partial 16S ribosomal RNA". It matches the Rfam family "Bacterial small subunit ribosomal RNA", at positions 524 to 790 of the family's 1533-position model. The record is from RNAcentral.
UACAGAGGUGGCAAGCGUUGUUCGGAAUUACUGGGCGUAAAGGGCGCGUAGGCGGCCAGCACAAGUCAGUUGUGAAAUCUCCGAGCUUAACUCGGAAAGGUCAACUGAUACUGUGCGGCUAGAGUGCGGAAGGGGCAACUGGAAUUCUUGGUGUAGCGGUGAAAUGCGUAGAUAUCAGGAAGAACACCGGUGGCGAAAAGCGCUCUGCUAGGCCGCAACUGACACUGAGGGACGAAAAGCUAGGGGGAGCGAAAUGGGAUUAGAAAACCCCC